GAUGAACGCUAGCGGCAGGCUUAACACAUGCAAGUCGAGGGGCAGCAUAAAUAGUAGCAAUACCAUUGGUGGCGACCGGCGGACGGGUGCGUAACGCGUAUACAACCUUCCCUAAACAGGGGGAUAAGCUGGAGAAAUUCGGUCUAAUACCUCAUAACAUCAGAGCAGGCAUCUGUUUUGGUUAAGAUUUCCGGAGGUUUAGUAUGGGUAUGCGUAGCAUUAGCUAGUUGGUGAGGUAACGGCUCACCAAGGCGACGAUGCUUAGGGGGACUGAGAGGUUAACCCCCCACACUGGUACUGAGACACGGACCAGACUCCUACGGGAGGCAGCAGUGAGGAAUAUUGGUCAAUGGGCGGAAGCCUGAACCAGCCAUGCCGCGUGCAGGAUGACGGCUCUAUGAGUUGUAAACUGCUUCUGUACGAGGGUAAAGUGGGCUACGUGUAGCCUUUUGAAAGUAUCGUACGAAUAAGGAUCGGCUAACUCCGUGCCAGCCGCCGCCGUAA
This 504-nucleotide ribosomal RNA is filed under the name uncultured bacterium. RNAcentral describes it as "partial 16S ribosomal RNA". It matches the Rfam family "Bacterial small subunit ribosomal RNA", at positions 28 to 523 of the family's 1533-position model. The record is from RNAcentral.